Molecule: ribosomal RNA, 408 nt
Filed under: uncultured bacterium
Lineage: Bacteria
Description: bacterial SSU rRNA
Rfam family: Bacterial small subunit ribosomal RNA
Source: RNAcentral
UGGUCUUGACAUAGAAAGAACUUUCCAGAGAUGGAUUGGUGCCUGCUUGCAGGAGCUUUCAUACAGGUGCUGCACGGCUGUCGUCAGCUCGUGUCGUGAGAUGUUGGGUUAAGUCCCGCAACGAGCGCAACCCUCGUCGUUAGUUGCUAACAGUUCGGCUGAGAACUCUAACGAGACUGCCUACGCAAGUAGGAGGAAGGCGGGGACGACGUCAAGUCAUCAUGGCCCUUAUGGGAUGGGCUACACACGUGCUACAAUGGGGGGUACAAAGAGCAGCCAACUGGCGACAGUGCGCGAAUCUCAUAAAACCUCUCGUAGUCCGGAUCGGAGUCUGCAACUCGACUCCGUGAAGUCGGAAUCGCUAGUAAUCGUGAAUCAGAAUGUCACGGUGAAUACGUUCCCGGGCCU